UGCCUCUUUCUUUCAUUCAGUUUGUGCUGAUUGUACCUACCUCAAGAGAAGGCCUGGGGACAGACCUCUGUGGAGGGAAAAGGUGACCAACAAUCAAAGAAGAUUGCUGAGUCUGGAAGGAUUUACAACAUGCUCCUGCUAUUUGUUUUUCCCUGUUUUUCACAUGCCUGAAGGGAUACUCCCCAGGCAUAAAUAAAAUAGGCAAGAUACAUUCCCCCCUUUUUUAGCUCAGUCAGUUCUAUUCUGCUCUCCCUCAGUGCACCCUGUUGGAGACCUCUUCUCCCAGGGCCAUGAGAUGGUUGCAGGGAUAUUGCAGAAGGGGUGAAUGCCACUGGGAACUGAAGUGCUGCCCUCCUUGCCACAGACCUCAUGGUAUUUCAGCAGCACAGCCAUCGUGCACUCAGCUGUGUCCCCUGCAGGGACCUCAUCAAGCCUGUUGCAGCUGUUCCAUAGAGGAACUGCCAGGUGCUCGACCAUGGGAAUAGGCAGCAUCAUUCAGCCUGAGGGUGCCAAAAUGCUCAGGGCAGGUGGAGGAGCUUGUGUGGGUCUGUAUUUGCUGGGUGCUUACAGGCACGGGCAGUGUGCUGGACACCUUCGGCAGCCCCGUGUUCAGGCAGUGGCAUCUUUCAUUCCCUCUGUGUGUUAGGCUGUCUGCUUCAAGAAACAAAUAAUAAAACUGUCAGUUUGAGAUUCCUGGUAUUUAUCAGCCUGUCCCCAGCCAGAGCACUCAUGGCUAAGAAUAUUCCUUGGGAAGAUACAAGAAUUUCACUUUAUUUACAGAAUGAGCCCUGUUCCUGCUCCCAGGUUUAAGGCAGCCGUUACUGGUGUUGGCCUUCUACCAGUUUGGGGUCCCAGGUCUGCAGCCAGGAGAAGCCUCGUGCCUAGAGAGGCAUUAGGCAGACCCUGCAUCACCUAGAGCAGGAAUUCAAGGAGCUGCUUCUUCCCAGGAGGGCACUUAGCAAUGAGGAGGAGCGGAGCCAGAGCUGGCCAGUGGCCCCACAGAUCUACUUCACUGGCACACUUCAAGUCUCUGCAAGUUGUGCUGAAGGGAUUUCACAUGCCCUCCAAGAGCUCCUUCCCUCCCUCCUACUGUUGCACAUGGCAAAUGGACACAGUGAAGAAUUUUCUCUUUGAAUCUAUUUUGCCUUUCAAAAAAACAGUGGUGAACAUACCAUGCAGCCAGAAUUGCAUAGGGCAGCAGUCACUGGGAGGCGUGCACCCCUGACAAGUCUUCUGGGACAACUGGCAGCUCCAGGAUCAUGAGGUCCGGACAUUUUUGUACUGAAUUCCCUCAAGACCUUUUCCAACUGUGAAUAUGCAGCUCUCUCUCUCUCUCUCUGUUUCUCUCUGUCUUUGAAUAAUCCUUUGCAUAACAGAAUAUUCUGGAUGGGAACAAACAAAUCUUCAGGCAGCUCUAGAGAAUGAUGCAGAAAACAAUGGGCUGAACCAAUUUUGCUUUCUCCUCCAAACUCUCUUGUGGCUCUUGAUUGUCUCUGCCUAUUUGUUUAUUGCUGCUGCUUUCUUGUGGAAGAAAUUUGGUUUGUUAACCUGAUUAUCUUUGUUUUGAAAUGAUAAAUGACUUCACCCUGGUUGCCAAUAGUCCAUGAUGCCUGGAAAAUAAAUCUGUGAGUCCAAGUUGUACUAACAACUCACUGAUUUCUUUGGGGAAAUAUGAACAAAAUUAAUAUGAUGCUUAUGUAAUCACUUACUAAAGCUAUGACUAAUUUGCAUCCUGGCGGUGAUAAGAGGAGAUAAGAAGAUGUGGCAUAAAUUAUACUCCUGUUUUUCUCCAUCCAUCUCUCUGGAGCCCGAGGGUGCUUGUUCACAGCUGCAGAGGUGUGCCUCUGAACCAAGCCACCACAAUCACACCAUCAGAGAGGUGCUGAAGCCGAGCUGAAGAGCCUCCCCAGGUCCGUGCUCUCUUGUGCUAGGCUGGCCUUGGCUGCUGGGCUUUCCCCAUACCCCUAGUCUCUUCCUUCUAGGAGACUGGAAGAAAGGGCUGGUAGGAAUUUCUUUGGACUUUUUCUGCAGCAUCUGCCAGAGAUAACCCAGUGCAGAAAUCACGCCCCAGCCUUGCAGGGCAUAAAUCAUCUAGACUAAACCAUCUCUUUUAUAGCAAGGCAUGCACAGUUUUAGAAAACUGGCAUUCCUUCUUCCUCUAGCCCUGAAUAUUGUUUGUUUUGUUCAAGGUUUGUGCACAGGGCAGUUCCCCACUGCUGCUGCAGCAUGGGAGUCAGAGAAACCAGGCAGCUUGUAUCAGCCGCUGGAGUAACUGCAUGCUCCCAACUUUGCUGUACAGCAAUGUGAUAACUAAAUUGCCUUUUAAGCGAAGAGCCACGACUUUUUAAUCUUGUUAUCUUAAGCAGUGUUAUUGGAUGCUGAAACAUUUUAUUAUGUGUGGGAGGAGGGCUCAUUCAAGGCACCCAACUCCUGCUCCCCAGGGCUGCCGUUAGCACAGCCUGUACCGAGCCGUCCUGCUGCACAGACAGGCUGGUUUUCUGGGGCACUCUCCCUUGUGCCCUCCCUGACCACUGCAAGUGAGACUGCACUGCAGCCUUUCCCUUGCUGGGAAUAUUAAUUUGGGUGUCCCUCCUUUUGUGUAGCCACCUAGUGCCAUUACACACAAUGCCUCCACCUCUGUCCAAUUUAACAAGAAAGGAAGGCAGCAGGUUCAAAAAAAGUUCAGAGGGGUGUGGGAUUGACAGAUGUGCAUGCACACUGUCACUGCAGAAAUCGGUUUUCUUUAGGAAGUUGGGCUGAAAAUGAGGCUAGUGUACCUUUUCACAGCAUGGUCUGUAUUCUGAAGGCAUGUCAGUACAGGGCAGUAUUGAGCCUUGCAUGUCCUGAGCCAGUUCCAUCUGAGCCUUUAUGUCAAUGACACAGUGUGUACUGAGAUAAGUUUGUAUACUGGAAGCAUCUCUUCUGUCCAGGGGCAGCUGUGCUGUUUCUGGCUUGGGAGCCAGUUCAUCCAGCAUCAGGCUGAGGAGCUCUGCGGUACAUUGCAUUGUGCAAUGCAGACAUAUCCAAUUAAUUCAUCUGAAUAGUGGAAUUCCCUUAAAAUGUUGCUCUCCAAGUAGAGACUAGAGGCCAAAUUUGAGGUCAUUUGAACAAAGUACACCAAAGAUGCAACCUCUGCUUAAAAACAUCAUAUGCCAUCCCAGUCUUACUCCUCAUGCAGUAUUUUAUUUGCUGGUUGUUAACACAUCUGGAUAUCAAACCAUGACUCUAAUCCUCCCCAGGCUGUUAUCAGGUCCUGUACUUGGAGUAUGGCAUUUAGUAUGGAAUGGUGUUUGACACCCAACGGCCCUUGGAGAGGUAAUGUUAGGAAAAGUAAUGAGGGUACAGUUCUGAUCUCUCUGGAUUAGGUAAAGGAAGUUAGGGAUGCACGCACAGUAGGACAUGGUUUAUGGGCACUUAGUUGUGAUGGCUGUGGGGAUAUGAACUGCAGGAUUGCUAACUUUUCACCUGCAAGCUGCAAGGAAAUAUUUUUUUUCCUUUCACAUUUCUGCCCCAAGAGCAGAGCUUUCACCCUAACAGGCAGUGUUUCAAAGGGCUCUGAAAUUACACGCAUGCUCAAUUUCUUCUGAAAGCUCUUGUGCCUUAGCAGGGCCGGAGGAUAAAUUUAGUCUGGGACCACUUGACACAGCAUGUUCUGCAGAUACUGCCUCCCCACACACAUAUGCAGCUGCCUUCCAUAUCCAGAGUGCUCUAAAAGCUCCAACCUGCCCACCCCCAAUAAACACAAAUACUGAUUUGCUGCAGCAAGGAUGUUUGGCAGAAGUGGGGAGUCCUUCUUUCAAAGGAUAUGUGGGGUGGGGACCACAGCAAGAGAGCCGUCUACAACAUUUUCCAGACUUUUACAGUGCAUAGCAGGAAAGCAAAACAAAACAAAACAAAGAAGAAAAAAACUUUCCACAAAUAGGCUCUCUGACCUUGCACCAGUCUUUAAGCAUGACAUGUUAUCACAGUCCAGAUGCUUUACUGCCUCCUUCUGAAGAGACUUGACAUCUAGCAUUUCCUCACAGACCCCUCACUGAGGGACACUGACUCUGCAGCGAACUUGCACAGGGUCCGCCUGUGCCUGCAGCAAAUGGGGCCAGAUCUCAGGCACGUCUCAUGUCUCUCUCCUCAUGACAGCUUAUGUAGGCAGUGCUGGGAUAGGAUGGUUGGUUUGGUGGGAGUCAUCAGGGACCACAUGGGGAAUGUGGCACAGCUGCCAUGCCCUCAAAGCAUCACAGAAAUGAAUGGCAGUUAUGUAAGGAGAUUAGUUGUGCCUGAUACUUUCCAGAACACAAAGUCAACACUUAAAGGCCUAAAGUAUAAUUGACUUAAACCUCCCUGUACUGGGAAAUCUGGAACUUGCCUUCUGCAAUAGCCCUUUCACAACCACCUUAACUCUGCCCCUGUUUGAAAUGCUUCUCUAACCACUGUGAGAGCUCACCAGACUGCCAACUUCCCAGCCCUGUGAAGAACAAUAUGGGAAUGUACAGGAGUCCUGUGAAGGGACAGGGAGGCCUCUUGGGGAAACGAUGAAUUUAAGUCAGAUGUAAUGAAGUAGGAGCUAACUCAGCCCUAUGUGUCCUCACUUGCCUGUCCCACUCAGAUGGAGUGCAGGCUCUGAAGGAGCUCAUGGGCAGACAAUAAAGACAUGGAGCAAUGCUUAAGCCUCUGAACCUCUCUGCUCCUCGUGAGGCAAAGAGAUGGAGCCAUUCCAAGUCACUUCCAUUCACUCCUGGAGCCUCUCAAAUGGAGAGCAGCAGUAUUUAAUGACAGCCAUAAAUCAUUAAGUAAUUAAGCACGCAAGCUAUAAAACACAUGUGCAAACAAACCUUGUGCAGUGAUGUGUACGUAGAGCUUGAGGUUAGAAAGCUAGCACAUUGCUACAUUCCUACAAAAACAUACCCAUCGCUGCACUGGAGAUCAAGAUAAUCUGUGUGGGGAAAUACUCCUCUUUCUCCCAUGAGCUAUUGUUAUUGGCCUGAAAAAUUUCAUUACCAUAGUUAUAUGGGAGUUAGUAACCAGGGCUAAAGUUCAGGCAGCCAAGUCUUAAAAAUGUUGGCACAUUUCGUGAAGCAGGGAUGCCAAUUCCAUCCCUGUUUAUUCCAGUGUUUUUGUAUUAUAUCCUAGCAGUCUUUAUAAUCUGAUAAUUUUGCCAAAUCCCUUCACUUUUUCUUGCAUUUUCCAGGGAGUGUGUAUCUUCCCAGAUCUUUGGCAGAACAUAUGAGAGCAGUCUGGCCUGUUGGUGGAGCAUGGCAGGAGCAACCACCAAGGGCUAUGUCAGCAGACACUUACUUCGGACUCUUCGUGACUGAGUAAGCAAGGGAUGUCACCAGGUGAACUCACAAGAGUUUUUCCCCUGCCACAGCAGUGUCUAUGAGAUGUGCUGGGAUCUGUGUGUCUUCAGCUCCUACUGGGAUGGCACCUCCAGACUACCACCAGAUCCAGAGAGAGGGGAACCUCCCCUUCACCUUCAGACACUGAGUUUUGAAAGAUGGAUAUUUUUAAUUUUAUCUGUGAUGAAAUAGCUGAUACACAUUCCUAGCAUUUGGAGGGGCCUUCAUGAAAGGGCUGACUGACUUCCUUCUUUUAUUAGUCUUGGAUGAUACUGUACUAGCUCCUCUGGUGCAUGCAUGCAUUUGUAGCCCUUGGGAGCCUAGAUGACCAGCUGGAACGUGAUUUCCUAAGUCAUCAGCGGGGAGAGGGAUGCAGCCCUGAGGCUGCUCCCUCCUCCUCCUGCCUUGCCUCCUGGCAGAGAGCUAACAAGACAACAGGAUGUUUCUCAUUUGGGUUUGAUGUUAUUUUCCCCACACUGUAAUAUCAUAGAAGAACCAAGGGCAGAUAGUGCUCUUUGAUCUGAGCACGAGAGAUAAUUAUAAACAUGCUGGCAGAAAACGUUUUUAUAUAACCAUACAAGUGUUUCAAAGCAGUGCAAAAAGCAGGAAGGUGGGAUUAAGAUAUACCCAAAAUGAAAUGAUUAUGUUAGACCGGAUGGAUUCAUUUUGUGCCAAACUCCUCCCCACCUCCCGCCAGCAAAUAAUAUUGCCAGAUGGUAAGAGGUUGAAAAUUUCUGGUCAUGUUUGUAAAAGCUAUCACUUCACUGAAUGUGUAGAUCUGCCCACAGACCUGAAGGAAUAUGUGAUCCCAAACAACAAAGAUACAUUCAUACUGGUAAAUAUGGUGAUCUGUUAGCUACUGAACACCUUGGGCCUGUUUCCCCAGGUCGCAAUGCACUGAGGUAUCUGGCACUGCUAAUAUCCAAUUUGGGGCCGUAGUGUGGAUUUACUUCAGGAAAAACUGAUAACAGACUGGAAGGGGCAUUUUCUAUGUAUUGAACCACAAGGGCAGUUCAAGAAAAGAUGACAAGCAUUCAUUGCUGGAGGAAGGACGUGUAACUCAAAGCCCAUCCAUGGCAGCAGCACUACUUUGUCAUGUCUCAGUCUCAAGGAGUUAACUCAGGAGUGGCUCUUCCUAAGUCUCUGGUAGCAUAACAGCAUAAAUACAGCAUGAAUGGGGAGGCAUUUGGGGCUCUGGUUGUCUGCAGAGCAAAAUGUCAUUCAUUGCAUCACUGGGUUAUACAAGUUGUUUAGUGCUGUGAAAUGUUUCACAGGCUGACGGUCUAAAUGCCAAUGCCCAGCCCCGAGUGAUUGUUCUGGUGACACUGCCCUCAGUUGAAUUGUGUCAGCAAGAUUGAAUUUGAUCAUACGCAUGUAAAAACUUAAUAUAUUCAGAUCUGAUGUCCCACAGGCAUUCAGGGAAGGGUGGAAAUGUGUGACCUAGUUUUAGGGAGGACGACCAUUGCUUUCCUCUCCCUUAAUGAUUUAGACUUUGAGGUAGAUUAUGUACUUCUGCUGCAGAAGAUGGCAGGGUCAGAAGUCUGGGUACCACAGACCACAGAGGGCUUUGAUAUGAAACCAAAAGUGCUACAGGAUUUUGCUAGAUCUAGAAAGAAAAGAAAAAAAAAAAAAAAAAAAGCAAGAAGAAA
Non-coding RNA from Anas platyrhynchos (mallard), 6982 nucleotides. Lineage: Eukaryota; Metazoa; Chordata; Aves; Anseriformes; Anatidae. The record is from RefSeq and is a predicted model, not a curated record.